CCCAAGACAGAUAAUUUGUUUGUCACAGGAAUGCCUUACUGGAGUGUUUUCUUUCCUCGUCUCUUUAUCUUGAUUUAGAGAAAAUGGUAAUGUGUACAUCCCAUAACUCUUCAGUAAAUCAUUAAUUAGCUAUAGUAACUUUUUCAUUUGAAGAUUUCAGCUGGGCAUGGUAGCUCAUGCCUGUAAUCUCAGCACUUUGGGAGGCUGAGACGGGCAGAUCACCUAAGCCCAGAGUUCAAGACCAGCCUGGGCAACAUGGCAAAACCUCUUAUCUACAGAAAAUACAAAAAUUAGCCAGGCCUGGUGGUGCACACCUGUAGUCCCAGCUACUUAGGAGGCGAGGUGGGAGGAUCGAUUGAGUCCAGGAGGUCAAGGCUGCAGUGAGCCAUGAUUGCAUCACUGCAUUCCAGCCUGGGUGAUAGAACAAGACCUUGUCUCAAAACAAAUUUGGUUUUUCAAGCAUUUUGAGGUUUUGACAAGCUGGCCAAUAUGGUGAAACCCCGUCUCUACUAAAAAUACAAAAAUUAGCUGAGUGUGGUGGCGUACCCCUGCAAUCCCAGCUACUUGAGAGGCUGAGGCAGGAGAAUUACUUGAAUCCAGGAAGUGGAGGUUGCAGUGAGCCAAGAUGGUACCACUGCACUCUAGCCUGGGUGACAGAGCGAGACUCUGUCUCAGAAAAAAAAAGCAAAAAAAAAAGCACAAGCAGAGUGGUAGACACACAAAAUGCUCAAUUCAUUUUUUAAAUGAUUUUUUUCCUUUAUAUCUUACUGCAUAAGCUUUUUUCUUUUUUUUGAGACAAAGUCUUGCUGUGUCACCCAGGCUGGGGUGCAGUGGCGCAGUCAUAGCUCACUGCAACCUUGAACUCCCGGGCUCAUGUGAUCCUCCCACUUCAGCCUCUCAAGUAGCUAGGACUACAGGUGUGCACCACCAUGCCUGACUAACUUUUUUAUUUUUUGUAGAGAGAACGUCUUGCUAUAUUGCCUAGGCUGGUCUUGAACUCUUGGGCUCAAGCAAUCCUCCUGCCUUGGCCUCUCAAGUGUGAGAUUCACAUUCUGUAACCACCAGUGUGACAUGGGUCCUGAACAGUUAGAACAGACUCCAGCCAUUAACCCAGGCAGCUUUCAGGUACGUACUCUGUGGCUAUUGCCCUGUAUGAAAGCCAAAAAGUGAUCCAUUUUCAGAGAUUAAUAUGUGACCACUUCUAUAUUAUAAGGCCAUGGCCAUACUCUUUAUUUUUCUUUUUGUUUUUUUCUUCCAAAGACAGGAUCUCUCUCUGUCAUCCACGCUAGAGUACAGUGGCAUGAACAUGGCUUACUGCAGCCUCAAACUCUUGUCCUGGGCUCAAACAAUCCUCCCACCUCAGCCUCCAAAGUAGAUAGAACUACAGGCAUGCACUACCAUGCCUAAUUAAAAAAAAAAAAAUUUUUUUUUGCAGAGAUGAGAUCUCACUAUUUCCCAGGCUUGUCUGGAACUCCUGGCCUCAAGCGAUCCUCCCACCUUGGCCUCCCAAAGUGUUGGGAUUAUAAGCAUGAGCCACCAUGCCUUGCCAUACACUUUUUUUUUUUUUUUUUUUUUUUUGAGACGGAGUCUGGCUCUGUCACCCAGGCUGCAGUGCAGUGGCGCGAUCUCGGCUCACUGCAAGCUUCACCUCCCAGGUUCGUGCUAUUCUCCUGCCUCAGCCUCCCAAGUAGCUGGGACAACAGGCAUCUGCCACCACAUCCGGCUAAUUUUUUUGUAUUUGUAGUAGAGACGGGCUUUCACCGUGUUAGCCAGGAUGAUCUCGAUCUCCUGACCUCAUGAUUCACCCGCCUCGGCCUCCCAAAGUGUUGGGAUUACAGGCAUGAGCCACCGUGCCCGGCCUGGCCAUACACUUUUAUCACUAUUUACAUACUUACUAAAAUGUUUGGUGGCCUGUAAUAGGAAACAUCAUCCUCAUUUGAUUGACGAAGAAGUCUGAGGAAAUAGGAUUGAACUGGUUCUGUUCUUGUAUUUGAGUAAUCAGUUGUGGAACUGUGGAAGUCAUAUACUCUCUCUGACUUUUGUAAUUACCUUAUGUUGUAUAGUACUUGAUGGUUUGCAAAGUAACCAUCUAUUCUUGCUUAUCUGUGAGUAAGAAUGCCAGGUCUGGAGACAGAAUGUCUGGGUUCAAAUUCUACUCAUCACUUUUUUUUUUCUUUUUUUUUUGAGAUAGAGUCUCGCUUUGUUGCCCAGGCUGGAGUGCAGUGGCGUAAUCUCAGCUCGCUACAACCUCUACCUUCCGGGGUCAAGCGAUUCUCCUGCCUCAGCCUUCCAAGUAGCUAGGACUACAAGUGCGUACCACCACGCCCAGCUAAUUUUUGUAUUUUUAGUAGAGACGGGGUUUCACCAUGUUGGCCAGGCUGGUCUCAAACUCCUGACCUCAAGUGAUCUGCCCACCUCAGCCUCCCAAAGUGCUGGGAUUACAGGCGUGAGCCACUGCGCCCGGCCUACUCAUCACUUACUAGCUAUUUGACCACACAAGUUACUCAACUCCUAUGUCAGUUAUGAAGAUUAAAUUAAAUGAUCCAUUUAAUACAAUAAUACACUUAGAACAAUGUCUAUCAGUAAAUUUUUUCUGUUUUAAAAAACAGGAUCUUACUCUGUCUCCCAGGCUGGAGUGAAGUGGCACGAUUAUAGCUCACUGUAGCUUCAAAAGCCUGGGCUCAAGCAGUCCUCCUGUCUCAGCCUAGCGAGUAGAUAAGACCACAGGCAUAGGUUGGUGUUUGACCUCCUGGCCUCAAGCAGCCUCCCAAAGUGCUGAGAUUACAGGCGUGAGCCACUAUACCCAGCCCAGUGUUAUAUUUUUAUAUAAUCCUAUGAAGUAUCAAGGCAGUUAUUAUCCCUGUUUUACUGCUAAGAAACUUGAAGUUUACAGAGGUAAAUUAUUUGCCCAAACUUAAACUCUGAUCUUGAAUCUGAAUCCCAAGUCCAAUAUUCUUUUCACUGUAUUACAAUAUUUUUACCAUCAACCCUCCAUUCUGUCUGCACAUCAUACAAAUGAGUAUCUCUACAGAGCUUUGAGUUCCUUUUAAACAAAAGAGAUUUUUGUACCCAAUGUUUAGAGUAGUGAUUCUUGGCUC
Symphalangus syndactylus (siamang) is the source of this 3098-nucleotide long non-coding RNA. RefSeq lists it as uncharacterized. NCBI's taxonomy places the organism in Eukaryota, Metazoa, Chordata, Mammalia, Primates, Hylobatidae. The record is from RefSeq and is a predicted model, not a curated record.